RNAcentral lists this ribosomal RNA (1531 nucleotides) under Salmonella enterica subsp. enterica. RNAcentral describes it as "bacterial SSU rRNA". It matches the Rfam family "Bacterial small subunit ribosomal RNA". Lineage: Bacteria; Pseudomonadati; Pseudomonadota; Gammaproteobacteria; Enterobacterales; Enterobacteriaceae. The record is from RNAcentral.
AGAGUUUGAUCAUGGCUCAGAUUGAACGCUGGCGGCAGGCCUAACACAUGCAAGUCGAACGGUAACAGGAAGCAGCUUGCUGCUUUGCUGACGAGUGGCGGACGGGUGAGUAAUGUCUGGGAAACUGCCUGAUGGAGGGGGAUAACUACUGGAAACGGUGGCUAAUACCGCAUAACGUCGCAAGACCAAAGAGGGGGACCUUCGGGCCUCUUGCCAUCAGAUGUGCCCAGAUGGGAUUAGCUUGUUGGUGAGGUAACGGCUCACCAAGGCGACGAUCCCUAGCUGGUCUGAGAGGAUGACCAGCCACACUGGAACUGAGACACGGUCCAGACUCCUACGGGAGGCAGCAGUGGGGAAUAUUGCACAAUGGGCGCAAGCCUGAUGCAGCCAUGCCGCGUGUAUGAAGAAGGCCUUCGGGUUGUAAAGUACUUUCAGCGGGGAGGAAGGUGUUGUGGUUAAUAACCGCAGCAAUUGACGUUACCCGCAGAAGAAGCACCGGCUAACUCCGUGCCAGCAGCCGCGGUAAUACGGAGGGUGCAAGCGUUAAUCGGAAUUACUGGGCGUAAAGCGCACGCAGGCGGUCUGUCAAGUCGGAUGUGAAAUCCCCGGGCUCAACCUGGGAACUGCAUUCGAAACUGGCAGGCUUGAGUCUUGUAGAGGGGGGUAGAAUUCCAGGUGUAGCGGUGAAAUGCGUAGAGAUCUGGAGGAAUACCGGUGGCGAAGGCGGCCCCCUGGACAAAGACUGACGCUCAGGUGCGAAAGCGUGGGGAGCAAACAGGAUUAGAUACCCUGGUAGUCCACGCCGUAAACGAUGUCUACUUGGAGGUUGUGCCCUUGAGGCGUGGCUUCCGGAGCUAACGCGUUAAGUAGACCGCCUGGGGAGUACGGCCGCAAGGUUAAAACUCAAAUGAAUUGACGGGGGCCCGCACAAGCGGUGGAGCAUGUGGUUUAAUUCGAUGCAACGCGAAGAACCUUACCUGGUCUUGACAUCCACGGAAGAAUUCAGAGAUGGAUUUGUGCCUUCGGGAACCGUGAGACAGGUGCUGCAUGGCUGUCGUCAGCUCGUGUUGUGAAAUGUUGGGUUAAGUCCCGCAACGAGCGCAACCCUUAUCCUUUGUUGCCAGCGGUCCGGCCGGGAACUCAAAGGAGACUGCCAGUGAUAAACUGGAGGAAGGUGGGGGAUGACGUCAAGUCAUCAUGGCCCUUACGACCAGGGCUACACACGUGCUACAAUGGCGCAUACAAAGAGAAGCGACCUCGCGAGAGCAAGCGGACCUCAUAAAGUGCGUCGUAGUCCGGAUUGGAGUCUGCAACUCGACUCCAUGAAGUCGGAAUCGCUAGUAAUCGUGGAUCAGAAUGCCACGGUGAAUACGUUCCCGGGCCUUGUACACACCGCCCGUCACACCAUGGGAGUGGGUUGCAAAAGAAGUAGGUAGCUUAACCUUCGGGAGGGCGCUUACCACUUUGUGAUUCAUGACUGGGGUGAAGUCGUAACAAGGUAACCGUAGGGGAACCUGCGGUUGGAUCACCU